UCUCAUCCAGAUACUGUCUAUCCUCAGGGAGCUCCUUGGGUUCCUCUUUCUCUCUGUCCUGACCUCUGUGUCCAGUUCUUUCUUGGGCACCAGACAGUGCUAGGAUUGUAAACCAGGACUAGCAAUCAAAACCCAGGGGUGGAUGGACAUGGCUUUCUUCAUAAGAUCCCUGAAUAUGUCAGAGAUGGGAAGAGAGGUGUGAGCUGGGGAUCUGACACCUACAUGUUCUUCUAUGGUAGAGUGGAGUGAUAGCAAGGACAGACAAAACAAGGACAUUUUCCUCAGCACCAGGGGAAUUUCAGGACUUCAAGCCAGACGAGAUAAUAAGCAUAUACUGAAGACCAGCUGAGACAUCCAGCCUUGUGGACUGAGCAAAUACUACAUUCUUGGACUUGCCAUUCACAGCCAGUCAUUGUUGGAUUAGCUGGACCACAGCCUGUAAGUCAGUCUUAAUAAAUCACAUAUAUGUAUACACACA
Molecule: non-coding RNA, 478 nt
Organism: Rattus norvegicus (Norway rat)
Lineage: Eukaryota; Metazoa; Chordata; Mammalia; Rodentia; Muridae
Source: RefSeq, a predicted model, not a curated record